GUCCACGCCGUAAACGAUGAAUGCUAGCCGUUGGUGGGUUUACUCAUCAGUGGCGCAGCUAACGCUUUAAGCAUUCCGCCUGGGGAGUACGGUCGCAAGAUUAAAACUCAAAGGAAUUGACGGGGGCCCCGCACAAGCGGUGGAGCAUGUGGUUUAAUUCGACGCAACGCGAAGAACCUUACCAGCUCUUGACAUGUCCAGGACCGGUUACAGAGAUGUAACUCUCCCUUCGGGGUCUGGAACACAGGUGCUGCAUGGCUGUCGU
Molecule: ribosomal RNA, 265 nt
Filed under: uncultured bacterium
Lineage: Bacteria
Description: partial 16S ribosomal RNA
Rfam family: Bacterial small subunit ribosomal RNA
Source: RNAcentral